CAACUUUUAACAACGGAUCUCUUGGUUCUCGCAUCGAUGAAGAACGUAGCAAAGUGCGAUAACUAGUGUGAAUUGCAUAUUCAGUGAAUCAUCGAGUCUUUGAACGCAACUUGCGCUCAUUGGUAUUCCAAUGAGCACGCCUGUUUCAGUAUCAAAACAAA
Molecule: ribosomal RNA, 161 nt
Filed under: Mucor ramosissimus
Lineage: Eukaryota; Fungi; Mucoromycota; Mucoromycetes; Mucorales; Mucoraceae
Description: 5.8S ribosomal RNA
Rfam family: 5.8S ribosomal RNA
About the family: 5.8S ribosomal RNA (5.8S rRNA) is a component of the large subunit of the eukaryotic ribosome. It is transcribed by RNA polymerase I as part of the 45S precursor that also contains 18S and 28S rRNA.
Source: RNAcentral